CUGGUUGAUCCUGCCAGUAGUCAUAUGCUUGUCACAAAGAUUAAGCCAUGCAUGUACAAGUUCACACCUUCAAACGGUGAAACCGCGAAUGGCUCAUUAAAUCAGCUAUGGUUCCUUAGAUCUUAUAUCCUUACUUGGAUAACUGUAGUAAUUCUAGAGCUAAUACAUGCCAAAAAGCCCUGAUUUGUUAAAAGUUGGGGCGGAUUUAUUAGAACAAAACCAACCGGUUGGCAACAACCGUUGUUUGAUGACUCUGGAUAACUUUUCUGAUCGCACGGCCUUGUGCCAGCGACGUAUCUUUCAAGUGUCUGACCUAUCAACUAUCGAUGGUAGGUGAUAUGCCUACCAUGGUGAUAACGGGUAACGGGGAAUCAGGGUUCGAUUCCGGAGAGGGAGCCUUAGAAAUGGCUACCACAUCUAAGGAAGGCAGCAGGCGCGCAAAUUACCCACUCUCAGCUCGAGGAGGUAGUGACGAGAAAUAACAAUACGGGACUCUUAUGAGGCCCCGUAAUUGGAAUGAGUACAAUUUAAAUCGUUUAACGAGUACCAAUUGGAGGGCAAGUCUGGUGCCAGCAGCCGCGGUAACUCCAGCUCCAAUAGCGUAUAUUAAAGUUGCUGCAGUUAAAAAGCUCGUAGUUGGAUCUCAGGCCAGAAGCUAGUGGUUCGCCUUGCGGUGUGACUGCUAGUUUCGCCUCAUCAGUCGUAUGCUAUCUCACGUGCUCUUCACCGGGUGCGUGAGAUGCUCGGCACGUUUACUUUGAACAAAUUAGAGUGCUCAAAGCAGGCCUUGUGCUUGAAUACUUAUGCAUGGAAUAAUGGAAUAGGACUUCGUUUCUAUUUUGUUGGUUUUCGGUUACGAAGUAAUGAUUAAAAGAGACAGACGGGGGCAUCUGUAUGGUGGUGUUAGGGGUGAAAUCCAUUGAUCGCCGCCAGACAAACAACUGCGAAAGCAUUUGCCAAGGAUGUUUUCAUUAAUCAAGAACGAAAGUCAGAGGUUCGAAGACGAUCAGAUACCGUCCUAGUUCUGACCAUAAACGAUGCCAACUGACAAUCGGGGUCUACAAAUCGAUUUUACCCUGGCAGUCUCUGGGAAACCUUUAAGUCUACAGGUUCUGGGGGAAGUAUGGUUGCAAGGCUGAAACUUAAAGGAAUUGACGGAAGGGCACCACCAGGAGUGGAGCCUGCGGCUUAAUUUGACUCAACACGGGAAAACUCACCCGGCCCGGACACUGUGAGGAUUGACAGAUUGAUAGCUCUUUCUUGAUUCAGUGGGUGGUGGUGCAUGGCCGUUCUUAGUUGGUGGAGUGAUUUGUCAGGUUAAUUCCGAUAACGAACGAGACUCUAGCCUGCUAAAUAGUUCACACAUGCCCAGCUGUGUUUGUGAACUUCUUAGAGGGAUACGUUGCGUAGAGCGACAUGAAAUUGAGCAAUAACAGGUCUGUGAUGCCCUUAGAUGUUCGGGGCCGCACGCGCGCUACACUGACGAUAUCAAUGAGUAUCAUCCUGGACUGAGAAGUUUGGGAAAUCUUAUGAAUUAUCGUCAUGUCAGGGAUUGGGGUUUGUAAUUAUCCCCCAUGAACGAGGAAUUCCCAGUAAGCGCAAGUCAUAAGCUUGCGCUGAUUACGUCCCUGCCCUUUGUACACACCGCCCGUCGCUACUACCGAUUGAAUGGUUUGGUGAGGCCUUUGGAUUGAAUCUCUGAAGUGUGCAAACGCUUUAGGUGAUUUGAGAAAAUCGUCAAACUUGAUCAUUUAGAGGAAGUAAAAGUCGUAACAAGGUUUCCGUAGGUGAACCUGCAG
RNAcentral lists this ribosomal RNA (1799 nucleotides) under Schizochilus caecus. RNAcentral's name for it is "SSU rRNA". It matches the Rfam family "Eukaryotic small subunit ribosomal RNA". The record is from RNAcentral. Lineage: Eukaryota; Metazoa; Platyhelminthes; Rhabdocoela; Schizorhynchidae.